Molecule: long non-coding RNA, 7607 nt
Filed under: Ananas comosus (pineapple)
Lineage: Eukaryota; Viridiplantae; Streptophyta; Magnoliopsida; Poales; Bromeliaceae
Description: long non-coding RNA (ACOM_LNC010344)
Source: RNAcentral
CAGUAGUUCUCACGUCCAGUUGUUCCUUUUCGUUUUGCAGAGCCGUCGUCGUCGGCUCCUGCUGAUCUUGAUCGUGGCAAGGGCGUCGCGAGUUAGAGCCCUACCAGACCAGAGCUAGUGGAGUACCAGUUACAGGCAGUUGUAGUUUUUGGUUCAUUGCAUACUGAUGUUAUACCUCGCUGGAGUGCGUGUUUUUGUACGAGGAUACUGUGUAUGUACUGAUCCAUUUUUAUUACAUACUCAUGUUCUUUUUUCUAGCAGUUCUAUACUACUGGUUGUAGUGUUGUAUUAUUACAGGUACAGUUACAGCUUCGCUUCGUAUACGAAAAAAUUCCUAUGUAUACGGCGGGUUUGUUGGCAUGCCCGAAGAAACGAGUAAUCCAGGGCGUGACAGAUUAAGUUGGUAUCAGAGCUUAGUAUUAGGUCGUUGGGACCUAGGAAAGCUAAGUUUGGCAAACCUUAGGAAGGCAAGACGCGAGAGGCAUGAUUUAUCGCGAAAGUCAAUGAUUAAUUAUUUUAACUACUCCUAGAGUGGAGUGAGUGAUUCGAGGAGUUCCUGUUUUGGCCUGUAAAAUUAUGUUGGCUGCAGACGACAUAAUUUUGAGGAGAAACAGGGGCCGCCUUCUGAACUUUCGUUUGAUUGGGUCGAGAGUGAUUAUAUUUUAUCUGACCCUGUUUUGUUCUUUGCAGUUACAGCUAUGUAUCGUCGCCGAGGUCGACCGUCGCUGCGGGAGCGUGCCCAGUUGACGCAGGAUCGUGCGGGACCUUCCGUGAUGCCGGAGCAAGCGGAGGCGAGUGUACCUCCUGUUGUGGAGCAGAGUGUUCUACCGGAGGCGAGUGCAUCCCCUAACUUGGGUGCACAGAUAGCCAUCCUGACAGAGGUGACGAGGCGGCAGAGGGAGUUGUAGGAGAGGUUGUGCGAGAGGGUAGCUCCGCCAUAGAGUACAGUACUGAGAGCACCAGAGCCGGCUGUUCCACCCCCGACUACUUCAGCCGCAGCACCAGCCGCAGCCGUACCCCCACCAGAGGAUAUUCCCGCAGCGCCGGUUGCGCCUUAUAGAGGGCCAGGACAGUUGACCGAGGCCGAGCAGGAGCGGAUGACCAAGAGUUUGGCUCGUUUUCGUCGUUUUGAUUCGCCGAUCUUCGAUGGCAGUGGUACUGAGGCUUGGGUUGUUGAGGGCUGGGUCAGUGCGAUGGAGAAGUUAUUUGAGGAUCUGUUCAUUCCUAAAAGGGAGCAGGUAUCUUUGGGCGUCCAUUGCUUGGCAGGCGAUGCACAUGCCUGGUGGAGGAGAGUGGGGCGAGAUCAGGGACUGGUAGCGUUGCAGCUGAGAUGGGAUGAGUUCUGUGGAAUGCUGUAUGCAAUGUAUUUUUCCAACAGUAUGAAACAAAAGCUCGAUGAGGAUUUGAAGAGGAUUUAGCAGGGGCCUCGGCCAGUGCAGGAGUACAUUCGGGAGUUUACUUGACUUCUGAACUGUGUGCCGUUUGUGGCCAGGGACGAGGCACACAGGGUUUAUCUAUUUGAGCAAGGGCUGAGAUCCGACAUCUUCAGGUUUGUGCGGGCGCAGAGGUCGAAGACCCUGGAUGCGUCCAUAGAGCAGGUCUUAUGGGUGGAGAGAGGUGAGGUGUCGCUUCAGGAAAGGACUCAGGCAGCGGGACAGAGUCAGGACAGGAAGUGCCUAGCUCCAGACGACGGAGGACAGUUGAGCAGCAGGCGUCUGCCGAGACCACCACGAUUACACUCUCAUGGUUGUAGGUCCUCGGGGCAUCAGCGUUCUGGGGGAUUCCGUUAGCAAAGGCAGUCGCUGGAGUCGCCACAGUGUGUGAUUUGUGGGGGACCACAUGGGGCCCGACAGUGUGAGCAGCGUGAGGGCCGGUAUUUUGGAUGUGGACAGCCAGGGCAUAUGAGAUUAGCUUGUCCCCGAGCAGCAUCUCCAGCACCAUCUACGGCCUCAGCGCAGCCAGCAUCUCAGCAGUCUUUUGGAGCAGCUCCGAGUUUCCGCCAGGGGGACAGAUCGUCUGUGCCGCGUCAGAGUGAGCGGCGACAGCAGGCUCCGAGUGGCAGGGUCUAUGCAGCCUAGGUGGAGGACUCUACAGUAGCCGACCGAGUGGUGGCAGGUAUUAUUUUGAUUUCUGGCAUUAGAGCUCGUACACUUUUUUAUACCGGUGCAUCGCAUUCCUUUGUAAGCCGAGCAUUUGCAUUAUUACAUGGUCUAGAGUUAGGGUCUUUGUCACAGGCACGAGAGGUGCAGAUCUCCGACCAUGUUUUGCAGGUUGAGAGUGUUGUUGGUCAUGUCCGGUGCAGUUGGAUUCGUGGGUCAUGCCGGUAGACCUGUUGGUGUUAGGACAGCAGCAGGACUUUGACGUAGUGCUUGGCAUGGAUUGGCUGGUGCGGUACUAUGCAACUAUUGAUUGUCGAGCGAGAACGGUGAUGUUCCGCGAGCCAGGCCAGGAGAAGUUCACUUUUAGGCGCUGUAGGAGCACGUUGUUCGCUGCUUGGAUUUCUUCCACGAGGGCUCGACACCUGAUGAGUAGAGGAUGCAUCGCUUUUCUAGCAGCAGUUGUUGAGGUACCUACGGCGGCGCCGGGACUCGAGGAUAUCCAUGUGGUCUGCGAGUUUUCGGAUGUGUUUCUCCCGGAGUUGACGACGAUACCGCCGGAGAGGGAGAUUGAGUUCGUGAUUGAUGUAGUUCCUAGAACUGCACCAAUCUCGAAGGUACCUUAUCGGAUGGCACUGGUUGAACCGAGAGAGCUAAAGGUGCAGCUUCAGGAUCUGAUGGAUAAGGGGUAUGUGAGACCCAGUGUAUCGUCUUGGGGAGCGCCGGUAUUAUUUGUAAAGAAGAAUGAUGGUUCACUCAGGUUAUAUGUGGAUUAUCGGGAGCUGAAUAAAGUGACCAUCUAGAACACGUAUCCUUUGCCGCGCAUCGAUGAUCUGUUUGAUCAGCUGUAAGGAUCUUGUGUCUUCUCAAAGAUUGACCUCCAGUCCGGUUACCACCAGCUGAGGGUGAGGGCCGAGGAUGUUCCCAAGACGGCUUUUCGGACUCGGUACGGGCAUUAUGAGUUCACGGUGAUGUCUUUUGGAUUGACCAAUGCCCCUGCCGCAUUUAUGAAUUUGAUAAACAGAGCGUUCAAGCCGUUCUUGGAUAGAUUUGUGGUAGUUUUCAUCGACGAUAUCUUGAUAUACUCCUGGAGUGACACCGAGCAUAAGGACCACUUGAGAAUUGUGAUACAACUUCUGAUGCCAAGUUGAAAAAGUGCGAGUUCUGGUUGCGGGAGGUUGCUUUCUUGGGCCACGUGAUUUCUUCAGAGGGAGUAUAGUGAACCCGAAGAAGAUUAAUGCUAUUCGGGAUUGGCCCAGACCGACGACGGUGACUGGAGUGAGGAUUUUCCUGGGACUGGCAGGAUAUUACCGUCAGUUUGUGGAAGGCUUUGCGAAGAUUUCCACACCCCUCACUCGAUUGACUCGAAAGGGGAUUCAGUUCAUCUGGAGUAAGGAUUGUUAGAGGAGUUUCGAUGAGUUGAGACAGAGGUUGACGUCGGCUCCUAUCCUUGCCCUUUCUGUGAUGGGGGAAGGAUUUGUGAUCUACAGUGAUGCAUCGCACAGUAGUUUGGGCUGUGUGCUGAUGUAGCAUGGUAGGGUAAUUCCUUAUGCUUCACGGCAGUUAAAGGAUUACAAGAAGACUUACCCUACGCAUGACUUGGAGCUUGCCGCUGUAGUCUUUGCUUUGAAAUUGUGGCGGCAUUACUUAUACGGCGAGCACUGUGAGGUUUUCACCGAUAAUAAAAGUCUCAAGUAUCUGUUCACCCAGAGGGAGUUGAACCUGAGGCAACGCCGGUGGUUGGAGUCACUGAAGGGCUAUGAUGUUAGGAUUCAGUAUCAUCCCGGUAAGGCGAAUGUAGUGGCAGAUGCGUUGAGCAGGAAGACAGUGCAGAGCUUGACUUUGAUGAUUACUCAGUAGAGGCCAUUACUUGAUGAGCUACAGCGGUUGAGGCUCGAGAUAGUGUCCCCUGGGUCUACUGCAAGGCUGAUGUCUAUAGUCUUACAGCCCACUCUAUUGGAUAGGAUCUGAGAGAAACAGAGUGGAGAUCCGCACUUGUCGAGGAUUCAAGAGCAGCUAGAGAGAGGACAGGCAGAGGACUUUGUUGUGGACAGUUCAGGAGUACUGCGGUAUAGGGACCGACUGUGUGUGCCUGCGGAUUCAGAGAUUCGAGAGGACAUUUUGAGAGAAGCUCAGUGUUCACCUUAUACGGUUCACCCUGGUGGAACCAAGAUGUAUAAGGAUUUGAAGGCACAGUUCUGGUGGAAUGGAAUGAAGAGGGACAUUGGCAGAUAUGUGGCUCAGUGUUUGACUUGCCAACAGGUGAAGGCAGAGCAUCAGGUACCUGCUGGCAAGCUUCAGUGUCUGUCAGUGCCCGAAUGGAAAUGGGAGCAGAUCACGAUGGACUUCGUCGUGGGGUUGCCUAGAGCACAGGGUGGUUUCGAUACUAUUUGGGUGAUAGUGGACAGACUGACCAAGUCUGCUCACUUCCUACCAGUUCAGGCCACCUGGUCCAGAGAGAGGCUCGCGCAGCUAUACCUGGAUGAGGUUGUCAGGCUGCAUGGUGUGCCGGUGUCGAUUGUAUCGGACAGAGACCCGAGGUUUGUUUCGCAUUUCUGGCGGAGUCUUCAGACAGCCUUGGGUACACAGCUACAUUUCAGCAUGGUAUUUCACCCACAGACAGAUGGUCAGUUAGAGAGGACCAUACAGACUCUAGAGGACAUGUUGAGGGCAUGCGUCCUGAACUUUGGAGGAAGGUGGCAUCGAUAUCUGAGACUGGCUGAGUUUGCGUACAACAACAGCUAUCAAACGAGCAUUCAGAUGGCUCCGUUUCAGGCGUUGUAUGGACGCAGAUGUCGAUCCCCUUUGUUUUGGAGUGAUGUGGGUGAAAGGAAGACGCUAGGGCCUGAGAUCUUGCUAGAGGCUGAGGAAAAGGUGAGAGUGGUUCGACGACACCUUUUGACUGCCCAGAGCCGCCAGAGGAGCUACGCCGAUACCAGAAGACGAGACUUGGAGUUCCCGAUUGGAGAUCAUGUUUUUCUCAAAGUCUCGCCGUCCAGAGGGAUUCGCAGAUUUGGGGUGUGUGGAAAGCUCAGUCCACGUUUCGUUGGCCCUUUUGAGGUAUUGGAGCGAGUUCGACCGGUUGCUUAUAGGAUUGCUCUACCUCCCCGACUUGCUGGUAUCCAUGAUGUCUUCCACGUCUCAGCAUUGAGGAGAUAUGUUUUCGAUCAUUCUCAUGUGAUCGACUUCACUCCACUAGAGAUUGGCGAGGAUCUGAGAUACGAGGAGCGACCGUUGCGGAUUCUUACUCGGGAGACGAAAGAAUUGCGCAAUCGGGUCAUCCCGUAUAUAAAAGUAGAGUGGAGUAAUCACGAGGAGGGGGAGGCGACUUGGGAGCCUGAGACGGUGAUGAGGGAGUCCUAUCCCUACCUUUUUGAGGCUUAGAGCUGAGGUACGCUUAAGUUUCGAGGACGAAACUUUUUGUAGUGUGUGAGGAUGUGGUAUCCCUGGUGUACAGUAGUUGAGGCUUGUCGACAGCUCUGGAGAGUGUCGGGACAAGUCCGAGUCUCGUUGGCGCGAAAUAGACGCAAAACGGACUCAGUAGGGGACGCGAGAGUAGGAGUUCGCUUUGGAAACUGUAAUUGUAGAUUUUUCUGCUUGUUAUACCGGUACAGCAUCAGGGGUGUACCGGUACACAUUUUGUACCGGUACAGCAUCGGAGGUGUACCGGUACACUUUGCCUGUUUCCACGCAGCUGCUCUCGGGUUGCCAUUUGUACCGGUAGAGUUACUCGUGUACCGGUACACCAGGGUAGGUGAGAGGGCUUUUUGGUCUUUUCUCACCUCGUUUGUGUCACCCUCUUCCCCAGCCUAUAUGUUUGCGUAGAGAGGAGCUGAGGGACAGUUUUUCUGCUGGUUUCCUUCCCUCUCUCUCUAGCUUGGACUGAGUGUGGAGGAGCUCUCGGGUGGAGUUGUUUUGUUGCCGACGUCGCGCUGCGGAGCCGUUCGAGCACACGAGCAUUGUGGUGGCUGCAUUGGGAGGCCGAGCGAGCGUGUGAUUCCGCCGUUUCGACGUCGCGCCGGUGUUAGUUUAGCAUUUGAGGUGGGUUUAUUAUCGGAUUUCUACUCCUAAAGUCUCGGUUAACGGCAUGUAUAUUUUGUGUUAUGCAUUUCAUGUGUUAUAGCUCGAAUUCGUGGAUUGUUCAUGUCUUUGACAUCUUAACUGAAUUUGGAGCAUAGUAUUAUUGGUGGUUAAAUUAUACAUGUGAACUUGGAUUUGACUUAGGAGAAAAUCCGCGAAUAUAACCCGUCAUAUGCUUACACUACCAGAUUUAGCUUUAGGAGUCGUUGUUAUUUGGUAUUGCCGCAGUAUCAACGUGGUGGAUACCCCAGGUAGUGUAGAUUGCUGUUACGCUCGUGCUGGGAUGCCGAAACUAUUUUUAUAGUAGUGUUCAGACUGUUCCGGACUGUUGGGGGCCGUCGGGGUUGACGGUAGACUCAGAUUGCCGUGUUGGCAUCAGAUUGUGCCAAGGGUACGUGACUUGUUGGUUGUUAGACCAGUUGGACCAUGUUUCUUGAGUUUAGCCUGUGAGAGCCUGAUUGAGCUCGACAGAGAUACGCUUGCAUAUUCGUUUGGGUCGCGCCCACGAGUGCCACCCCGGAGUUGGGCUUAGUGCUUUUGCGUUGGUGUCGUUGUGUCCUGGUUGGACUUGCUCUCCACUAACUAUCCAGCGUGGUGGUUGUUAGUGUAGCUUCGACAGGCGGGACGGGUGUAUCACAGUCCCUAGUGAGAUUGGGUCAGGAUUUACUUUUACUACAGUUGGUUAGUAUAGAGCAUGAUAGUGUAGGGACAUAUAGAUAUAGAUUGUCUUCCAGCUUUUCCUAUAUCUUUACUUCCUUCUGUAGACUUAGUAGGUGGACUGAUGAUGUUGAGGGCGGCACCCACUAAGGACUACUUGUUUUACAGUAGUUCUUACGUCCAGUUAUUCCUUUUCGCUUUGCAGAGCCGUCGUCGUCAGCUGCUGCUGAUCCUGAUCGUGGCAAGGGCGUCGCGAGUUAGAGCUCUAUCAGACGAGUCAGAGCUAGUGGAGUACCAGCUACAGGUAGUUGUAGUUUUUGGUUCAUUGCAUACUGAUAUUAUACCUCGCUGGAGCGAGUGCUUUUGUAUCAGGAUACUGUGUAUAUACUGAUCCAUUUUUAUUAUAUACUCAUGUUCUUUCUCCUAGCAGCUCUAUACUACUGGUUGUAGUGUUGUAUUAUUACAGGCACAGUUACAGCUUCGUUUCGUAUACGGAAAAAAUUUCUAUUUAUACGGCGGGUCUGUUGGCGUGCCCGAAGAAACGAGUAAUCCGGGGCGUGACAAGUGACAAAGUUAAAACUAAAGGUAUUAAAAUGAAUAUUCGAUAAAUUUAGGCGGAGUAUCUGAAGUUUUUUAUAUAUAAUUUAACGAAAUAUUAACGGCGAAACUGACGAAAAAAUAAAAAAAAAAACAACAUGACACUAACUUAAUAUUCUUUAAACCAUAGAAUACUAAAGUGAGAACGUGCGAAAUCACAUGAGUGGUAUCUAAAAU